UAGGACUGUUACCUUGAAAAAAUUAGAGUGUUUAAAGCAGGCUCACGCUUGAAUACAUUAGCAUGGAAUAAUGAAAUAGGACAUCCGAUUCUAUUUUGUUGGUUUCUAGGAUCGAUGUAAUGAUUAAUAGGGAUAGUCGGGGGCAUCAGUAUUCAAUCGUCAGAGGUGAAAUUCUUGGAUUGAUUGAAGACUAACUACUGCGAAAGCAUUUGCCAAGGAUGUUUUCAUUAAUCAAGAACGAUAGUUAGGGGAUCGAAGACGAUCAGAUACCGUCGUAGUCUUAACCAUAAACUAUGCCGACUAGGGAUCGGACGAUGUUAAAUUUUAUUGACUCGUUCGGCGCCUUACGGGAAAC
RNAcentral lists this ribosomal RNA (355 nucleotides) under uncultured Glomus. RNAcentral's name for it is "SSU rRNA". It matches the Rfam family "Eukaryotic small subunit ribosomal RNA", at positions 744 to 1098 of the family's 1831-position model. The record is from RNAcentral. Lineage: Eukaryota; Fungi; Glomeromycota; Glomeromycetes; Glomerales; Glomeraceae.